RNAcentral lists this RNase P RNA (431 nucleotides) under Acidobacteria bacterium RIFCSPLOWO2_12_FULL_59_11. RNAcentral's name for it is "RNase P RNA component class A". It matches the Rfam family "Bacterial RNase P class A". From Rfam's summary of the family: Ribonuclease P (RNase P) is a ubiquitous endoribonuclease, found in archaea, bacteria and eukarya as well as chloroplasts and mitochondria. Its best characterised activity is the generation of mature 5'-ends of tRNAs by cleaving the 5'-leader elements of precursor-tRNAs. The record is from RNAcentral. Lineage: Bacteria; Pseudomonadati; Acidobacteriota.
UGAGCAGGUCGGGCGAUCGCCCCGGCAAGUCGGGGAGGAAAGUCCGGACUCCGCAGGGCAGUGUGCUGGCUAACGGCCAGGAUCGGUCGGGCCUCCCCAGGCAAUGCCGGAGGGGUCGGGCCGGUACGGAAAGCGCCACAGAAAACAUACCGCCCCGGCUUGCCGGGGUAAGGGUGAAAAGGUGCGGCCCGCAAGGGCUUAAUGUAAGAGCGCACCGCCCGGAUGGUGACAUCCGGGGCAGGGCAAACCCCACACGGAGCAAGACCAAAUAGGAGAAGAGGAGUGGCCCGCUUCGCAACCUCGUUCGGCAACGGGCGAGGGGUGACUCUCGGGUAGGUCGCUAGAGCUUGGGAGUAAUCCCAGGCCCAGAGGAAUGAUCGCCGUCCCGGCUUGCCGGGACACAAAAUCCGGCUUAUAGGCCUGCUUGCCUG